GGGUUGUGAGGUUAAGCGACUAAGCGUACACGGUGGAUGCCCUGGCAGUCAGAGGCGAUGAAGGGCGUGCUAAUCUGCGAUAAGCGCCGGUAAGGUGAUAUGAACCGUUAUAACCGGCGAUACCCGAAUGGGGAAACCCAGUGUGAUUCGUCACACUAUCAUUAACUGAAUCCAUAGGUUAAUGAGGCGAACCGGGGGAACUGAAACAUCUAAGUACCCCGAGGAAAAGAAAUCAACCGAGAUUCCCCCAGUAGCGGCGAGCGAACGGGGAGGAGCCCAGAGCCUGAAUCAGCAUGUGUGUUAGUGGAAGCGUCUGGAAAGGCGCGCGAUACAGGGUGACAGCCCCGUACACAAAAGCGCAUAUGCUGUGAGCUCGAUGAGUAGGGCGGGACACGUGGUAUCCUGUCUGAAUAUGGGGGGACCAUCCUCCAAGGCUAAAUACUCCUGACUGACCGAUAGUGAACCAGUACCGUGAGGGAAAGGCGAAAAGAACCCCGGCGAGGGGAGUGAAAAAGAACCUGAAACCGUGUACGUACAAGCAGUGGGAGCACAGGUUUACCUGUGUGACUGCGUACCUUUUGUAUAAUGGGUCAGCGACUUAUAUUCUGUAGCAAGGUUAACCGCAUAGGGGAGCCGGAGGGAAACCGAGUCUUAAUUGGGCGUUAAGUUGCAGGGUAUAGACCCGAAACCCGGUGAUCUAGCCAUGGGCAGGUUGAAGGUUGGGUAACACUAACUGGAGGACCGAACCGACUAAUGUUGAAAAAUUAGCGGAUGACCUGUGGCUGGGGGUGAAAGGCCAAUCAAACCGGGAGAUAGCUGGUUCUCCCCGAAAGCUAUUUAGGUAGCGCCUCGUGAACUCAUCUCCGGGGGUAGAGCACUGUUUCGGCUAGGGGGCCAUCCCGGCUUACCAACCCGAUGCAAACUGCGAAUACCGGAGAAUGUUAUCACGGGAGACACACGGCGGGUGCUAACGUCCGUCGUGAAGAGGGAAACAACCCAGACCGCCAGCUAAGGUCCCAAAGUCAUGGUUAAGUGGGAAACGAUGUGGGAAGGCCCAGACAGCCAGGAUGUUGGCUUAGAAGCAGCCAUCAUUUAAAGAAAGCGUAAUAGCUCACUGGUCGAGUCGGCCUGCGCGGAAGAUGUAACGGGGCUAAACCAUGCACCGAAGCUGCGGCAGCGAACGUAUCACCCAAGACAACUUUACGGAGUUGACGAUUGACGGAGCGAAGCGACGUCAAAGCGUUCAUUAAAGUCGAGUUGGCUUAGGGAUACGUUCGUUGGGUAGGGGAGCGUUCUGUAAGCCGUUGAAGGUGGCCUGUGAGGGUUGCUGGAGGUAUCAGAAGUGCGAAUGCUGACAUAAGUAACGAUAAAGCGGGUGAAAAGCCCGCUCGCCGGAAGACCAAGGGUUCCUGUCCAACGUUAAUCGGGGCAGGGUGAGUCGACCCCUAAGGCGAGGCCGAAAGGCGUAGUCGAUGGGAAACGGGUUAAUAUUCCCGUACUUGGUGUUACUGCGAAGGGGGGACGGAGAAGGCUAUGUUGGCCGGGCGACGGUUGUCCCGGUUUAAGCGUGUAGGUGUGUGUUCCAGGUAAAUCCGGUUCACUUUAACACUGAGGCGUGACGACGAGGCACUACGGUGCUGAAGCAACAAAUGCCCUGCUUCCAGGAAAAGCCUCUAAGCAUCAGGUAACAUCAAAUCGUACCCCAAACCGACACAGGUGGUCAGGUAGAGAAUACCAAGGCGCUUGAGAGAACUCGGGUGAAGGAACUAGGCAAAAUGGUGCCGUAACUUCGGGAGAAGGCACGCUGACACGUAGGUGAAGUGAUUUACUCAUGGAGCUGAAGUCAGUCGAAGAUACCAGCUGGCUGCAACUGUUUAUUAAAAACACAGCACUGUGCAAACACGAAAGUGGACGUAUACGGUGUGACGCCUGCCCGGUGCCGGAAGGUUAAUUGAUGGGGUCAGCGCAAGCGAAGCUCCUGAUCGAAGCCCCGGUAAACGGCGGCCGUAACUAUAACGGUCCUAAGGUAGCGAAAUUCCUUGUCGGGUAAGUUCCGACCUGCACGAAUGGCGUAAUGAUGGCCAGGCUGUCUCCACCCGAGACUCAGUGAAAUUGAACUCGCUGUGAAGAUGCAGUGUACCCGCGGCAAGACGGAAAGACCCCGUGAACCUUUACUAUAGCUUGACACUGAACAUUGAGCCUUGAUGUGUAGGAUAGGUGGGAGGCUUUGAAGCGUGGACGCCAGUCUGCGUGGAGCCGACCUUGAAAUACCACCCUUUAAUGUUUGAUGUUCUAACGUGGACCCGUAAUCCGGGUUGCGGACAGUGUCUGGUGGGUAGUUUGACUGGGGCGGUCUCCUCCUAAAGAGUAACGGAGGAGCACGAAGGUUGGCUAAUCCUGGUCGGACAUCAGGAGGUUAGUGCAAUGGCAUAAGCCAGCUUGACUGCGAGCGUGACGGCGCGAGCAGGUGCGAAAGCAGGUCAUAGUGAUCCGGUGGUUCUGAAUGGAAGGGCCAUCGCUCAACGGAUAAAAGGUACUCCGGGGAUAACAGGCUGAUACCGCCCAAGAGUUCAUAUCGACGGCGGUGUUUGGCACCUCGAUGUCGGCUCAUCACAUCCUGGGGCUGAAGUAGGUCCCAAGGGUAUGGCUGUUCGCCAUUUAAAGUGGUACGCGAGCUGGGUUUAGAACGUCGUGAGACAGUUCGGUCCCUAUCUGCCGUGGGCGCUGGAGAACUGAGGGGGGCUGCUCCUAGUACGAGAGGACCGGAGUGGACGCAUCACUGGUGUUCGGGUUGUCAUGCCAAUGGCACUGCCCGGUAGCUAAAUGCGGAAGAGAUAAGUGCUGAAAGCAUCUAAGCACGAAACUUGCCCCGAGAUGAGUUCUCCCUGAGACUUAGAGUCUCCUGAAGGAACGUUGAAGACGACGACGUUGAUAGGCCGGGUGUGUAAGCGCAGCGAUGCGUUGAGCUAACCGGUACUAAUGAACCGUGAGGCUUAACCUUACAACGCCGAAGCUGUU
RNAcentral lists this ribosomal RNA (3018 nucleotides) under Salmonella enterica subsp. enterica serovar Sloterdijk str. ATCC 15791. Its description in RNAcentral is "bacterial LSU rRNA". It matches the Rfam family "Bacterial large subunit ribosomal RNA". The record is from RNAcentral. Lineage: Bacteria; Pseudomonadati; Pseudomonadota; Gammaproteobacteria; Enterobacterales; Enterobacteriaceae.